GGAAGUGAGAGAGAUCUGGUUGUGUCACCCCUUGGUCAAUCACCAGGGUUGAUUCCCCCAACCUGGUUGAGUAGACCAUUGUCCUCUUCCUCUAUCAUGGCUCUGUGUGAGUCACUCCCAAAGCUGUAUGCUCUGUGGAAGAGAACUGCCUUCUCCCAAAAGAAUGUUCUUCAAUAAUGACUGUGAGAAACUGUACUUCUCUACUAGACUCUCUAAACUAGCUAUCAAGGUCCAUUUGUAGGAGAAUGGGGAGUACUAAAGCUUCCCAGGAUCCAACCAUGUCCAAAUUAGUUACUGUAUGUGAGUUUGUCUUUUUUU
This 318-nucleotide small nuclear RNA is filed under the name Sorex araneus (European shrew). RNAcentral's name for it is "7SK RNA (ENSSARG00000017985.1)". It matches the Rfam family "7SK RNA". Rfam says of the family: 7SK was discovered as an abundant small nuclear RNA in the mid-70s but a possible function has only recently been suggested. Two independent studies have found that 7SK RNA binds the CDK9/cyclin T complex (known as elongation factor P-TEFb). Lineage: Eukaryota; Metazoa; Chordata; Mammalia; Eulipotyphla; Soricidae. The record is from RNAcentral.